AUGCCCGAGCCCCACCAAAUCCACCAACCCACGCCUCCAACCGAUCCAAACUCCGUUGCCUCCACGGCUGCAAAUGCCCGGCGCAAUCCGGCCCCGCUGCCGUUGCCGGAGAUCGCGGUGCCGCCAGUGCAGCCGAAGAUGAUCAUAAAGGGGAUGCUGGGCCGGUACGAGCGGUGGAACCCCGUGCACCCGACGGCGGGGGCCUUCUGGGGCGUCGGGCUGGGGUUCGGCUGCGGCGUCGGGUGGGGCCCGGGGUUUGGGCCCGAGGUCAUCGGCUACGUCGGCGCCGGAUGCGGCGUCGGCUUCAGCGUCGGCAUCACGCUCGCCGGUGUCGGCGUCGGGCUGCCACAGCACGGCAUCAUCAGGAACCACUACCACGGCGGCGGUUUUGCAAGCAAUGUCCCAUUCGAAUCAGCAAGGUUUUACCUCUUGACCAUGCUAAAAGGUAUGGUAUGGGAUGCCAUCAGUUAUGCGAGCAACGUCGCAGCUAUGAGGAAAGAAUCUCGACAGAAGCUUUUAAGAUGUCAGGAGAAUCCUCAAGUUUCAGGAGUUGAUCUGCCCAAGCUGGGGAAAGGAAUGUCCAGCAGCUUUCGAUCAACGAUGGAGUGUAUCAAGGCCUUCACAAAUCAGCAUUGGCCUCCAUAG
RNAcentral lists this ribosomal RNA (645 nucleotides) under Triticum aestivum (bread wheat). RNAcentral's name for it is "partial small subunit ribosomal RNA". Lineage: Eukaryota; Viridiplantae; Streptophyta; Magnoliopsida; Poales; Poaceae. The record is from RNAcentral.